Molecule: transfer RNA, 56 nt
Filed under: Salmo salar (Atlantic salmon)
Lineage: Eukaryota; Metazoa; Chordata; Actinopteri; Salmoniformes; Salmonidae
Rfam family: tRNA
About the family: Transfer RNA (tRNA) molecules are approximately 80 nucleotides in length. Their secondary structure includes four short double-helical elements and three loops (D, anti-codon, and T loops).
Source: Rfam by way of RNAcentral
GCUCAGUUGGUAGAGCAUGGUGUUUGCAACGCCACGGUUGUGGGUUCGAUUCCCAC